AAAUGACUUUUUAUUACUAGUAUCUGCCAGAAACAAUUUUGUCAUCUAAUUGAGGCUGGACUAAGCACAGCACACACAAGGACACCAUUGAAAGAAAUGCACACACAAAACAGUGUUGUGCUUACGCUUUUCUGUCAUGGAGUAUUGUGUGCACUGUUCUUAGACAUGAAUCACAAACUCACCCACGCUUAAACCAUAAUAAUCGAGUUUGUUUUGUGUUCUUUCGACCACAGCCUUUCCCUUCUUUGGACUCUAUUGUCUCUGGACGUACAAGUCAACAGUGAAUCUGUCACCAUUUGAAUUAACCUCAAGGGCCAGAAUCAUCACAAGGACGACAGACCAAAGAGAGAUUAUUGUCUGCAAGCUGCCCACGCCAAGCCAUAAGAAGCUCAACGGUCACCAUAAUGACAACAGGUCCUCUUGAACUCCAUGCCUCACCAUGUACUGUUUGCAAGUUUACCAGAUGGAUGGGUGUGAGCCCUAUACAGAAAAGCAGCAGUCUACAGUUUUGUAUUAUACCGGGCAGGAACGCUGAGAUCUGACAUAAAAGCUUACUUGCUUUUAAGGCUGUUUUAUGACAAACGGAGAAGUAACAUGUUGUGUCUCGACUUUUCUAGUCCUUAAAGACGUGACGACCAGAACACAAACAAGAUAGCAAGCUUCUACUUGCUAAUUCACAAACUCUGUCAUCUGCUCUUUGCAAAUCAGCUUGGCAGGCAAUCCCACUAAGUAUCACAUGCUCCUUCACAACGAUAAUUUGUUACACGAAAAUGCAUAGAAUUUUAAAACGAUCAAAAGCGCUCAAUGCAAUUUUGAGGGAACGACGCCUCAUGGUGACUGAAUUUCUGGUAGUCAUUCUUAAGUUGUUCAAUAACAGUUAGCAUGAAUUCAAUAACUAGACUAGCCCUGCACAUUGAAAUAAGUUGCUAGAAAAGCCAAAGCUCACACAACUGGCCUACACCACAUUUUACGAACAUGACAUAUCACUAAAAACAAUUUUUGCUUCUCUUCAAACAGAGGAUGACAAACCUGAGCCCAGUGUGUUCUCAAAAAGUUUUUCAAAAGUACUCAGAGGAUAGUAAGUUCGGCUUAGCAUUCAGCCAAUCAACAGUGGAUGACCAAAAGAAGCCUCAGCGUGGGAACUUGUCUUCGUCACAGUCCUCACAAAUAUGUUUGCGUGUUGAAAUGUUGGCUCAAGGCUGAGGCUUCCCUUGUUUGCCUCUGUUACUCAACUGAAGUGUUCAUCUCCUUGCAACCUCUUUUGUCUUGUCUGAAUAUAUAAACCGAGAUUUUUUUUUUCAACAUGAAAGCAUAAAUUGCAUUUUGCAUGGAUCUGCGAGCAUUAAUUGAGCUUGCUUAUAUGUUUAUUUAGUCUCCUUGUUGCAUUCGGAGAGUCUUUGCAGAAGUCCCUGAAAGCACUGUUGUCUCUGUUACGUUGCUUGUUUUUCUACGAGUACUCCACUUGUGUCAAAGCCUUUACUGCUGCACCUGAACACUAAAUGUGCAGCAGAAUAUCAAGAGCAGACAAUACCUACUGGACAAUUUAGCAUAACAUUGUUUUGUUUUGUUUUUCCUACACUACGUGCAUCUCGCCAAUGCGUUAUGAAAAGAAUGGGACAUUGCAGCUCAAGCUUAUCUUGCUGACACUACAUCUUUGCCGAGCACUUUUUAUGUUUACUUUUUUUAAUACAGCUGAAAUCGUCAAAUGCAGGCGAUAUAAGUACAGUGUGAAACACAGCAAGCAGCAAUAUACUCAACUACAGUAUGAGGGUAGCCCAGCAUGAAUAUCAUAGUCUGAAGCUUGGCUCUCCCUGCUUUAAACAGCAUGCAGAACACUAUGAGAGAAAUUUGCUGGAUUUCAACUUUCAAUUCUAUUUUAAAUAAAUGGUUAUCUGUGUUUCUUUAUGUAGCAAACUCAGUGUGUGACAGCAUCAAGUUCAGCUGACCUGUAUGAAAAUUGUGGGCAUGUACUGCUUCAUUCACCAUUGACAAUAAACGAUGUAAGCUUA
Dermacentor silvarum is the source of this 2009-nucleotide long non-coding RNA. RefSeq lists it as uncharacterized. The transcript is spliced from 2 exons. Lineage: Eukaryota; Metazoa; Arthropoda; Arachnida; Ixodida; Ixodidae. The record is from RefSeq and is a predicted model, not a curated record.